Molecule: ribosomal RNA, 460 nt
Filed under: uncultured bacterium
Lineage: Bacteria
Description: partial 16S ribosomal RNA
Rfam family: Bacterial small subunit ribosomal RNA
Source: RNAcentral
CCUACGGGAGGCAGCAGUGAGGAAUAUUGGUCAAUGGGCGUAAGCCUGAACCAGCCAAGUCGCGUGAGGGAUGAAGGUUCUAUGGAUCGUAAACCUCUUUUAUAAGGGAAUAAAGUGCGGGACGUGUCCCGUUUUGUAUGUACCUUAUGAAUAAGGAUCGGCUAACUCCGUGCCAGCAGCCGCGGUAAUACGGAGGAUCCGAGCGUUAUCCGGAUUUAUUGGGUUUAACGGGUGCGUAGGCGGCCUUUUAAGUCAGCGGUGAAAGUCUGUGGCUCAACCAUAGAAUUGCCGUUGAAACUGGGAGGCUUGAGUAUGUUUGAGGCAGGCGGAAUGCGUGGUGUAGCGGUGAAAUGCUUAGAUAUCACGCAGAACCCCGAUUGCGAAGGCAGCCUGCCAAGCCAUGACUGACAUUGAUGCUCGAAAGUGUGGGUAUCAAACAGGAUUAGAUACCCUAGUAGUC